UGAGUAACACGUGAGUAACCUGCCCUUAACUUCGGGAUAAGCCUGGGAAACUGGGUCUAAUACCGGAUACGACGGUCCACCGCAUGGUGGUCCGUGGAAAGCUUGAUGCGGUUUUGGAUGGACUCGCGGCCUAUCAGCUAGUUGGUUGGGGUAAUGGCCCACCAAGGCGACGACGGGUAGCCGGCCUGAGAGGGUGACCGGCCACACUGGGACUGAGACACGGCCCAGACUCCUACGGGAGGCAGCAGUGGGGAAUAUUGCACAAUGGGCGAAAGCCUGAUGCAGCGACGCCGCGUGAGGGACGAAGGCCUUCGGGUUGUAAACCUCUUUCAGCAGGGAAGAAGCGAAAGUGACGGUACCUGCAGAAGAAGCGCCGGCUAACUACGUGCCAGCAGCCGCGGUAAUACGUAGGGCGCAAGCGUUAUCCGGAAUUAUUGGGCGUAAAGAGCUCGUAGGCGGUUUGUCGCGUCUGCUGUGAAAGCCCGGGGCUCAACCCCGGGUCUGCAGUGGGUACGGGCAGACUAGAGUGCAGUAGGGGAGACUGGAAAUUCCUGGUGUAGCGGUGAAAUGCGCAGAUAUCAGGAGGAACACCGAUGGCGAAGGCAGGUCUCUGGGCUGUAACUGACGCUGAGGAGCGAAAGCAUGGGGAGCGAACAGGAUUAGAUACCCUGGUAGUCCAUGCCGUAAACGUUGGACACUAGGUGGUGGGGGACAUUCCACGUUUUCCGCGCCGUAGCUAACGCAUUAAGUGCCCCGCCUGGGGAGUACGGCCGCAAGGCUAAAACUCAAAGGAAUUGACGGGGGCCCGCACAAGCGGCGGAGCAUGCGGAUUAAUUCGAUGCAACGCGAAGAACCUUACCAAGGCUUGACAUGAACCGGAAAGGCCUGGAAACAGGUCCCCCACUUGUGGUCGGUUUACAGGUGGUGCAUGGUUGUCGUCAGCUCGUGUCGUGAGAUGUUGGGUUAAGUCCCGCAACGAGCGCAACCCUCGUUCUAUGUUGCCAGCGCGUUAUGGCGGGGACUCAUAGGAGACUGCCGGGGUCAACUCGGAGGAAGGUGGGGACGACGUCAAAUCAUCAUGCCCCUUAUGUCUUGGGCUUCACGCAUGCUACAAUGGCCGGUACAAAGGGUUGCGAUACUGUGAGGUGGAGCUAAUCCCAAAAAGCCGGUCUCAGUUCGGAUUGAGGUCUGCAACUCGACCUCAUGAAGUUGGAGUCGCUAGUAAUCGCAGAUCAGCAACGCUGCGGUGAAUACGUUCCCGGGCCUUGUACACACCACCCGUCAACUCCCCCAAGUUGGUAACACCCGAAGCCGGUGGCCUAACCC
This 1326-nucleotide ribosomal RNA is filed under the name Arthrobacter citreus. RNAcentral's name for it is "16S ribosomal RNA". It matches the Rfam family "Bacterial small subunit ribosomal RNA", at positions 107 to 1441 of the family's 1533-position model. Lineage: Bacteria; Bacillati; Actinomycetota; Actinomycetes; Micrococcales; Micrococcaceae. The record is from RNAcentral.